RNAcentral lists this ribosomal RNA (368 nucleotides) under uncultured organism. RNAcentral describes it as "partial 16S ribosomal RNA". It matches the Rfam family "Bacterial small subunit ribosomal RNA", at positions 526 to 896 of the family's 1533-position model. The record is from RNAcentral.
GGAUGGGGGCUAGCGUUGUUCGGAAUUACUGGGCGUAAAGGCGCGUAGGCGGCCAUUUAAGUUAGACGUGAAAGCCCUGGGCUUAACCUAGGAAUUGCGUUUAAUACUGGAUGGCUAGAGAUUGGUAGAGGAAAGCGGAAUUCCUAGUGUAGAGGUGAAAUUCGUAGAUAUUAGGAAGAACACCAGAGGCGAAGGCGGCUUUCUGGGCCAAUACUGACGCUGAGGCGCGAAAGCGUGGGGAGCAAACAGGAUUAGAUACCCUGGUAGUCCACGCUGUAAACGAUGAAUGCUAAACGUCGGGGAUUUAUUCUUCGGUGUUGCAGCUAACGCAUUAAGCAUUCCGCCUGGGGAGUACGGUCGCAAGAUUA